This 602-nucleotide long non-coding RNA is filed under the name Mus spicilegus (steppe mouse). RNAcentral's name for it is "lncRNA (ENSMSIG00000005996.1)". Lineage: Eukaryota; Metazoa; Chordata; Mammalia; Rodentia; Muridae. The record is from RNAcentral.
CCAGGUGAAUACGGAAUAUUCCAAAACAUUCCACUGGCUUAUGGACCUCCAAGGAAAACUAUGACCAGGUGGUGACGUAACAUGAGGAAUCCGAGAUGGGGGAAACUCAGUUAGGGUGCUCAUUUUAGCCUGGGGAGCACAAUAAAGGUGUUCACCCUUUUCGGGGUUGGAAUAUAUUCAAGUGACAGAUGUCACACUGUUCCUGGGAGUUCUGACUGCUUUCAUCUUAUGGACCUAUUACCAAGACCACCUGCUCCCUCUCCUUACGAAAAUACGUAUCAUUCCCUUAAUAAGAAACUGCUCUACAUUUCAAAUUGCAUAUGGAAGAGGAAGCAAGCACACGCAAACAACAAAAAACACUGAAGCAAGUAACGUUCAAGAUGGAUUCAAGAAUUCACGCUGCUUUGUGGACAGAAGCUGCCCCUGUGGAAUUUCACUCUCUGCUCCGGAUCCGUCGAACACUUCCGAAUGCUUUUUAAAGACACAGUUAUUUCAACUGUGCGGCAUUCAUGUGGAUAAAUAUCCCCUUCCUUUUAAACUACGGGUUUUCCCCUUCAACUAUUAAUAAAAAAAGACAUCCUGUGCAAAAAGAAAAAAAGGAA